Molecule: long non-coding RNA, 1833 nt
Organism: Bombyx mori (domestic silkworm)
Lineage: Eukaryota; Metazoa; Arthropoda; Insecta; Lepidoptera; Bombycidae
Exons: 3
Source: RefSeq, a predicted model, not a curated record
UGUGUAUUAUUAUUUUACGUAAAAUGGUCACAAAUGCUGGUGGAGUUCGAGGAGUCGGGUACAAAAUGAUCCGAUCACCUUGUUUAUUUCGACUACGCUAGGAUGAAAGUGUGUGCAAUACAUUGACAUCAUCAGCUCUACGAUUGCAAAAUACUAAUUUUUAGAUCAAGUUGAUCAAUUUAAUGCGGCUAUUGCUGAAGCAGUACGCCUGAGAGCCAACACAGCGCUAACUUUGUCAUUUCUGUUGGGCAGAUUGUGAUAAUAAUGAAACAUGCUCAAUAGCAACAAUCAGAUAAUAAUUUUCGUCGCGUCUAACUUUUGAACACAUAAUGAGCAUGAUUUAUUGUAUCGACAGCAGAUUUUAACGAAAAAUGAUGAUGAACGGUAUUUAAAUGAUUAAAGGUCACUUAAACACUACAAAAACUCAAUAAUUACGUCAACGUACGUUUGAAUACGUCUAAACAGGAUAGACAACUAUUUUAUUCACAAGAUACUUAGCUGAGUUUUUGUAUGCUUGUGAUUCGAAUAUAGUAUGAUGUUCUCGUGACAGAAUCAAAAUUUUAACUCCAAUAAUUUAAUAAUUAUUUUUGAUAAUGCUAGAUCAGUAAACGAGUUCACGACCCACCUGAUGUUGAGUCGUUACAAUAGCUCAUAAACACCAGUAGGUCAAUGCAACCUAUCUUUUUUGAGUUGUUAUUGUAAUGAAAUAUGUUUUUUAAAAUGUAACGCAAAUUUUUUUUUUUUUUUUUUUUUUCUAUCCUGCAACUUAGCAAUCUGUUUCUUGAAAAACAAUAAUCUAAUCUGUUGUCAGAUUUUCAUCAGGAAAAGUUGAGUCAGCUGAGUUGUGUCCCCAGUGGUACCAUUCUCAUCUUAAAUCUGCAAAUCUUUUUGCUAGGUCUGGUAUACUACUCCUUUUCAGGCGAGAGUAUCUUAGGCUGCCCUCCCCCUGCAGCUCUGCAGCCAGCUGAUUAAUGUGUUGGUCAAGUCGUGUUUGGUAAUUAAACGCAAAUAACAAGUUUUUUGUGGAGGUCCCAGAUGUGAAUUUUUUAUUACUGCCUUUCAACAAAAUUUUAAAGUUUUUUUUUUUUUGUACUGUUUUAAAUAAACGAUGCCUGGGAGAUGUGAAGACUAUCCAAAUAUCGAUUCUAAGGGACUUUUUAAUUUCACUUAUCAAAUAUAUAUGUAUAAGAAAAAAUUAAAAUGUAACAUGAAUCUCAAUCUUGUGUCAAAAUGUAUGUGAUUAUGUUGAAUUUCAAGUGUAUUUGGAUGAACAGUGUUCAUUAUAUAUAACUAAUCUUAAUGUAUAUUGAAACAUUAUUGAAAAUUUAUUAACUUAUUAGAAUUAUAAGUGUUAUGCUACUUACAUAUCUAUAGGUUGGAAAACAACAGACAUGUUUUUGAUAGAAAAACCAAUUCUCCCCCAUUUUUAAAAUACCUUUAUAGAUAUUUAGUAACAGACGAUGGGUUUAUUUGUUUCAAAAAGAUGUAACAAUUAAUAGCAAAAAUUGAACAGUGCUUGGUGGAUAUCAACAAACAAGAGUAAUUUAAUUUGAAUUAUAAGAAAAAGAGUUUAAAAUAAAAUCUAGGAUAUUUUAGACAUCAAUUUAAUCUGAUUAUUCAAAUUUUAUAUUUUUCAAUUUAAUUUUCCAUCGAUGAACAGCUUUUUUUUUUAAAAAACAACCUCGUAUGAAUAGUAAGUUAUUCAAACUUAUUUAUUUGACAAUUCCUAACUAACCUUUUAAUGCAGUAAAUUAGUGGUAAACUUAUGUAUGGGUAAAUUGUUUAUUUUUAUUGAUAAUCCAAGAGUUAAUAAAGAUAAUUAUCUACUGAUAA